Molecule: ribosomal RNA, 351 nt
Filed under: uncultured soil bacterium
Lineage: Bacteria
Description: bacterial SSU rRNA
Rfam family: Bacterial small subunit ribosomal RNA
Source: RNAcentral
AGGACGAACGCUGGCGGCGUGCUUAACACAUGCAAGUCGAGCGGAAAGGCCCUUCGGGGUACUCGAGCGGCGAACGGGUGAGUAACACGUGAGUAACCUGCCCUGGACUUUGGGAUAACCCUCGGAAACGGGGGCUAAUACCGGAUAUGACGACUCACCGCAUGGUGUGGUUGUGGAAAGUUUUUCGGUUUGGGAUGGGCUCGCGGACUAUCAGCUUGUUGGUGGGUGAUGGCCUACCAAGGCGACGACGGUUAGCCGGCCUGAGAGGGCGGCCGGCCACACUGGGACUGAGACACGGCCCAGACUCCUACGGGGAGCAGCAGUGGGGAAUAUUGCACAAGUGGGACGGAA